UUGUGGAGGAGGACGCCGAAGGUGGGGCUAAUGACUGGGGUGAAGUCGUAACAAGGUAGCCGUACCGGAAGGUGCGGCUGGAUCACCUCCUAACAGGGAGACAACAAAAUGUUUAAUAUUAUUAUUUUGUCACCUUAGGUCGGUCGGUAUCUCACGUUCUUAAUUUAUUAAGAAUUUCAUUUCCUAAGUUUUUCUAGGUCACACCCAUUAUUUUUCCUGGGCCAUUAGCUCAGGUGGUUAGAGCGCACCCCUGAUAAGGGUGAGGUCCCUGGUUCAAGUCCAGGAUGGCCCAUAUCUCUAUGUUGGGGGUAUAGCUCAGUUGGUAGAGCGCCUGCCUUGCAAGCAGGAUGUCAGCGGUUCGAGUCCGCUUACCUCCACUGAUUACCACCUCUUCCAUAUCAAUGAGAAAGGAAUUGUUUUGAGUUGUGAUCAAAUUCUGAACGAAUCUAGCUUCCUAAUGAAAUCAUUAAGAUGCUGGACUCAUUGAAUUAAUUUCAUUGUUUUCAGAGAACCUUGACAACUGCAUAGAUUAUUUUAAAGACAAUAAGCAUUUUAAUGAUGCAGAUUUAUUAUUGGUGCGAACGCAUUAAUAACAAUUCUAUUAAGCUGAUGCUCCAAUUAGAAGUUAUUGGUCAAGCUACAA
This 643-nucleotide unclassified non-coding RNA is filed under the name uncultured Prochlorococcus sp. Its description in RNAcentral is "partial 16S-23S ribosomal RNA intergenic spacer; may also contain 16S ribosomal RNA and 23S ribosomal RNA". The stretch from base 305 to 377 matches the Rfam family "tRNA". Lineage: Bacteria; Bacillati; Cyanobacteriota; Cyanophyceae; Synechococcales; Prochlorococcaceae. The record is from RNAcentral.